GAUGAACGCUAGCUACAGGCUUAACACAUGCAAGUCGAGGGGUAACGAGAGGAAAGCUUGCUUUCCUUGUCGACGACCGGCGCACGGGUGAGUAACGCGUAUCCAACCUGCCCCCAACUAAGGAAUAACCUUGCGAAAGUAAGACUAAUACCUUAUAAUUUCCUCAGAUGUCAUCUGACGAGGAAUAAAGAUUUAUCGGUUGUGGAUGGGGAUGCGUCUGAUUAGCUUGUUGGCGGGGUAACGGCCCACCAAGGCAACUAUCAGUAGGGGUUCUGAGAGGAAGGUCCCCCACAUUGGACCUGAGACACGGUCAAAACUCCUACGGGAGGCAGCAGUGAGGAAUAUUGGUCAAUGGGCGAAAGCUUGAACCAGCCAAGUAGCGUGCAGGAUGACGGCCCUAUGGGUUGUAAACUGCUUUUAUACAGGAAUAAAGUUAGCCACGUGUGGUUAUUUGUAGGUACUGUAUGAAUAAGGACCGGCUAAUUCCGUGCCAGCCGCCGCGGUAA
This 506-nucleotide ribosomal RNA is filed under the name uncultured bacterium. RNAcentral's name for it is "partial 16S ribosomal RNA". It matches the Rfam family "Bacterial small subunit ribosomal RNA", at positions 28 to 523 of the family's 1533-position model. The record is from RNAcentral.